Drosophila pseudoobscura is the source of this 967-nucleotide long non-coding RNA. RefSeq lists it as uncharacterized. NCBI's taxonomy places the organism in Eukaryota, Metazoa, Arthropoda, Insecta, Diptera, Drosophilidae. The record is from RefSeq and is a predicted model, not a curated record. The transcript is spliced from 4 exons.
UACCGUCCGACACUCAGAAAUAUACCGAAUCUACGUCACAAAUUUAAAAAUAUACCUUAAAUAUACUGACGAGAUAUCUGUCUUCACGUUCCAUCAUAUUCCACGUUUUUGAUAUUCGGUUGGUUAUUACUAGAUAGCUAAGACCCUCUUAUCUGAACUUAUAGAUUUAUGCGAAAACAGUCAAGAACAAAUUCCUCUAAAUUCAUGUUUUGACAUGGUAACUACACGCUAACGACACAAUUGCUACAUAAUAUCUACAUUUCCAUGUAAUUAUUGAAAGCGCCACCUGAGGGGAAAAUGUAUUUGAAUGGCAAACGAUCAGGAAUUCGAUAUUGAUCACUCAUAUAUACUCGAUGUGGCCUGGGACAUGGAUCUAAAUGUACAGGGUUUCUACAUUGGUGCAUUCGACAAGAGGGUGUGUGAGCUAGACAUGGUGGCAAGACCCUCAGAAAAAACGGACUCAGUCCACUUAAGCCCCCUAUAUUUAAACAAUUCAACGACUUGAGGUAAAUAUCGGAAAAUAUUAGUGAUUGUAAAUUCUUCUUGAAGAUCCAUGUCAUCUGUCUUUUGAACUUAAAAAAAAACCACAAUAUGUUUAACCUGAACAGCGCUAAAGUGAUAACAUUUUCAUUAUUUUCGGAGCACUAUCAACAUCAUACCCCCUUUGUCAACAAUGGGCUAAUCGCUCUCAGUCAAGGAUUGGAAACAAUAUUCCUCGUUUUUGAUAUUCCGUCGAAUAUUACUAGCUAAAUAGAACCCUCAGCCCUGCCAACGUAUUUUUAUCCGAUAAACGAAUCAAUUCUAUAUUUUUUUGGCUUAUUUCAAAUACUUGCUGUUAUUGUAUUGUGUCUAAAACAAGGUUCAAACAAAAGAGGUCAUCAUGAGGCAUUGUGGCGAGGAAAAGACCCUCCACGAAGAGAGAAUAUCCCAUCACAAAAUAAAGAACAAGUCCCAAAAAAUAGAGAGC